ACUGGCUAUAGUAUUUCGUUAAUCAUCCACAAAGUUUUAAUUAGCUAAGUUAAUUUAAAAACCCAAUUCACCCCCCCUCUUGGGUUGUCUAUCUGGGCAACACCAAUAUCUAACUGAUUAAAGAUUGUUGUUAGGGGAGCAUACAAAAGUUCAAACUAAUAGAUUUCUAUUUGAUACCAAGAUAUUCUAUACAUAGGUCACAUAUAUUUUUUAAAUCUCUAAAAUUUUGUAUAUGUACAUUAUAUGGCAUUUUGCUUAUUGAAGUACUAACUUGACUUAUCGGGCAUUUUAGUAUAUAUGUUUGCAUGGAAGGCUCGGGUUCUCUUUUUUGUAUUCGCAUGGCAUGUAAUUGAGAUGUGACCAAGGUUUUAUCCUCAACAGCCUAUCUCAUGACAAGAAAAGAAUUUAUUCAAAGAACUCAUGACGAACUAGUAGCAAUCAUCUAUCUGACUAUCUCCACACAACAUGGAUUAUUUCAUGGGCAGCAUAGUUUGUGCCUAUGGCAAUGAGAACUCGCAGUAUAUUGACAAUUUUCGGAAGACAUUUGUUUGCCUCAUUUACAAAAAUUACUGGCAAUAAGCCUACUUCUGAUAACAAUUCUGUAUCAUUUUAAGAGAAAUAUUCCAAAAACAUGUGUCCCAUUAAGCUAGGCAAAGGCUCCUACUUCCUAUUAACCAUAAAGCCUCUUAGACAUACUACCUCUUUCAAGAGAUAAAAACCUCUUGGUCCUAUUUCAUAGAAUAACUUUAACAGAGAAUAAUGCCAAAAUAAGGAUUUGAAAAAGAGCAGGGUGUUGACAAUUGUGAAAAAAAUAUAAUUUAAGAAAUAAGAAGCAUAAAGCAUUGUCCGAACUAUAUAUGCAUCAAAACUAUCCAAAAUUUACCUGGUUAAGAAGAUCAUAAUCAUCCAAUAAAUAAACAUAGAUUUAAACUAAACUGGAGAAAUCCAGCAUCAUAAAUCAUUCUAGACUGUCUUGUUGUUUGUUAUUUAACAUGUCGACUUCAGAGUUCCAACUUCCAAGUAACUCAUCAUGCAAACUAGUAUUUCACAACUAAUUUUACACAUUAACAGCAUAAGUAAAUAAAUUUCAUGGCGAAACCUAGAAGGGACACAAUAAAAACAUAUCUUAAACUCCAUCCGUGGGGCCCUACAGUGUUUAUUAUAUAUUUCUUGUUCAUUUGAAAAAGCAUAUUUCAUAUAAACAUUUAAUAGGUAAAAAGGAAACUACUUUAAGGUUACAUCUGACACCAACUAAAGCAAAAAAUGAACCUAACUAGCAUUGAUAUAAGAAUAUGCCCCUUCAUACAAUAAUCUAUCCUUUCAAAUUCUAUGUCUUUUCUUGGUCAUUUUUUUUUUUUUAAUUCAAUCCGUAUGAUUAAAUCCAAUUAACAUGAGACAGCUAAGAGUGCAAACCAUAUACCAGCCAUGACAAGAAAAUAUUUGUUAUCUUGGCUCAAACAACUCCGAUCGAAAAAUUUAAUGACUACAACUUGCAAAAAGAAAACAAGGGAAAAAUUCUGAUCCUUUUCCUAGAACAUACUAAGAUUGGUAAUUCAUUAUUCCGGGGGUUCCCAAAAUAUAUUGUACCUAGCUCCCUAUCACCAGCUAAUUUUUUUUAAGAUGAAAAGCCAAUCAAGUGCUUACAAGCCUUCCUGGUCAAAUAAGAUAAUAUUCACCUUACAUGCAACUUGAUGAUAAUGUGGUGUGACAUUAUGUGGAAGUUUGGCAUGUCCUUGACACACAAUGGUUUGUGGCUGACAUGGAAAACUUUGAGCAUGAAAAAAUAUUUAUACCAUCAAGGUUGAGAGGGCAAAAACAUACUCUACAAUGUAUGAGACUUGCAAGGCCAAAAAACACAAGUAGAUGUAGGGUCUUAUGCCCUUACCAAAAAGCUAGAAAUAUAAUUUAGUGAAACCCAUUCGUUUUAGGUCGAGUCUUGCAACACAAGAAUAAAAAUGAGAAGCACACAUUAGCAAAAAAGCAAGAUUGAGGCACAAUUUGUUUGCUAUUCUCUUCUACAGGUAUGAGAAGAGAAGAACAUGUAGGUAAAUAAAAACUUCUAGACAAGAAUUUGGGAGCCAAACAGCAGGAAAAACUGGCUGCUAACAGAUAAUCUGCAGCUUGAAAAGAACAUGUAGGUAAAUAAAAAAA
Non-coding RNA from Phoenix dactylifera (date palm), 2151 nucleotides. NCBI's taxonomy places the organism in Eukaryota, Viridiplantae, Streptophyta, Magnoliopsida, Arecales, Arecaceae. The record is from RefSeq and is a predicted model, not a curated record.